This 481-nucleotide ribosomal RNA is filed under the name Ascocoryne sp. olrim904. RNAcentral's name for it is "eukaryotic LSU rRNA". The stretch from base 172 to 325 matches the Rfam family "5.8S ribosomal RNA". The record is from RNAcentral. Lineage: Eukaryota; Fungi; Ascomycota; Leotiomycetes; Helotiales; Gelatinodiscaceae.
GCCCGCUGCUCGACGACCACGGCCCCCUCCCCGGGGGUACCCCCCAACCCUUGCGGACUAUACCUUUGUUGCUUUGGCGGGCCGCAUCGCGCCACCGGCGUACGCUGGUGAGUGCCCGCCAGAGGCCCCAACUCUUGAUUUUAUAGCGUCUGAGUACUAUAUAAUAGUUAAAACUUUCAACAACGGAUCUCUUGGUUCUGGCAUCGAUGAAGAACGCAGCGAAAUGCGAUAAGUAAUGUGAAUUGCAGAAUUCAGUGAAUCAUCGAAUCUUUGAACGCACAUUGCGCCCCGUGGCAUUCCGCGGGGCAUGCCUGUUCGAGCGUCAUUAUGACCAAAUCACGCCGGGCGUGGUCUUGGGGCUGGCAGCUCUGCCGCCCUCAAACGCAGUGGCAGCGCCGGGUGGCUCUUAGCGUAGUAAUACUCCUCGCUAUAGGGUCCGCCGGUCGCCCGCCAGCAACCCCCAAUCUUUCUAGGUUGACCU